GGCAUUAUUGAGCACUUUAACAGGGCAAUAUAUUAGUUGGAUGAGACGUGGGUCAAUACAGGUGAGGUGCAUAGCAGAGCGUGGAUUGAUACCACAGUCACAUCAUCAAGGGAUGCAUUCCUCAGAGGCCUCACCACAGGACAUAAGGAACGCUCAAAGGUAAGCGUCUUUGUAUUACACAUCGGGUCGUCAGACAGUUUUGUCCCGGGGGCCUUUUGUGUUCUGAAUCCAAACCCCAAUUCUACUAUCAUGAUAAGUUAAAUGGCGAUACGUUUUAUGAACGGUUUGUUAAAACCCUGUUGUAAAAAACGAUUUAAUGAAAAAAGUUAACAAAAUAAAAAAUCAGUACAACCAAUAUGCAAUUGAUGAGUACGCAAAAGAGAAUAAUAAAAUCAUAUUGCGAUUGACAUUUUAUCGAACAUAUCCAAAAAGUGGAAGACAAUUUUUAGGAUAUAGAACAUAUAACCGACGAAAUAAUGGAAAAACUAUCCGAAGAAGGUCAUGUUCUAAUGAUAGGAACAGGUGACACAAGUUCUGCUGAUUGUGCCUCUCAUUGAUUUCAUUGUGCUUUAACUAUUUU
Cinara cedri is the source of this 580-nucleotide non-coding RNA. NCBI's taxonomy places the organism in Eukaryota, Metazoa, Arthropoda, Insecta, Hemiptera, Aphididae. The record is from the annotation of a GenBank genome assembly.